CGUAGGGUGCGAGCGUUGUCCGGAUUUAUUGGGCGUAAAGAGCUUGUAGGCGGUUUGUCGCGUCGGGAGUGAAACUCAGGGCUUAACCCUGAGCCUGCUUCCGAUACGGGCAGACUUGAGGAAGGUAGGGGAGAAUGGAAUUCCUGGUGGAGCGGUGGAAUGCGCAGAUAUCAGGAGGAACACCAGUGGCGAAGGCGGUUCUCUGGACCUUUCCUGACGCUGAGAAGCGAAAGCGUGGGGAGCAAACAGGCUU
Molecule: ribosomal RNA, 253 nt
Filed under: uncultured bacterium
Lineage: Bacteria
Description: partial 16S ribosomal RNA
Rfam family: Bacterial small subunit ribosomal RNA
Source: RNAcentral